GGUAUUAAUCCUACAUCAAUAUUUUAUUUUGGAGUCAGGGUCUAGGUCUGAUUCCCCGAGGUUUUACCCUCCUUUGGGGCUCCUCACGAGUUAUCUCCAGAAUCCAUUCGAUGGAUAUUCGAAGAUUAAUCGGAAUAGAGUUCUUAAGUUUCAAAUCUGAUAGUUAAUCAUGCAUGAAAGUUUUAGCAUAAUUGUUUAAACGAUUCCGGCAUAA
RNAcentral lists this long non-coding RNA (214 nucleotides) under Phoenix dactylifera (date palm). Its description in RNAcentral is "long non-coding RNA (PDAC_LNC009929)". The record is from RNAcentral. Lineage: Eukaryota; Viridiplantae; Streptophyta; Magnoliopsida; Arecales; Arecaceae.